AGAGCACGCAUGACAUGCUGGGGCAAGCGUGAUUUUUACAGCACGCUUCGGAAGCUCGAUCAAGACCGCUUUGCUGGAUGUUUCCAGAACAUUCUUAAGGAAUAUUUGAAAACCAGGAUUGGAAAAAAACCCAAAACAACAACAACAACAACAGAUUAGAUCAACUCUUUGCUGUGGAGAUUCUGGCUUCCAAAAAUCCUGCUGACUGCAGCACAGCUGAUGAUGUCAUUGCAUCAUCACAGCGGAACUGGAAUUCCUACUGAAAUUACACUUCACGACAAACAAGACACAAGCCAAGAACGCCACUCACUGUGUUUUCCCACAAAUAAGUGCUAUAAUGUCCUGUGAGAAUUUUGUCUGUGCUUUUAGAGACAUGGGAAUCAUUUGACAGUAUUUAAUUUUCCAGUUGUGCUCCUUAUAUACAAAUAAAAAAAAUUAAAGGAUCAAGA
This 449-nucleotide long non-coding RNA is filed under the name Mus musculus (house mouse). Its description in RNAcentral is "RIKEN cDNA 2310075C17 gene (2310075C17Rik)". The record is from RNAcentral. Lineage: Eukaryota; Metazoa; Chordata; Mammalia; Rodentia; Muridae.